AAUUUGGCACACUAUCGUCGAGCCUACGCUCCCCGAUAUCCAUCUUUUGACCUGCCCUGUCUGAACAUACCCAUGAUUUUGCGUACUAUUUGUUUCCUUGGUGGGCUUGCUCACCGCUAGGACAACUACACCCUUUUGUAAUUGCAGUCAGCGUCAGAAACAAAUAAUUAUUACAACUUUCAACAACGGAUCUCUUGGUUCUGGCAUCGAUGAAGAACGCAGCGAAAUGCGAUAAGUAGUGUGAAUUGCAGAAUUCAGUGAAUCAUCGAAUCUUUGAACGCACAUUGCGCCCUUUGGUAUUCCGAAGGGUAUGCUCGUUUGAGUGUCAUUAUACUCUCACACUCUCUGAUUAGAGAGCGGUGGACGUGGAUGUUGCCUGGUGCUUGUUGUCAGGCUCAUCUGAAAUGAGUUAGUACGACUCCUAGUUAAACAUAGUACGGCGUUAUAACUAAACCCUCGCUGUUUUUUUGUCUGAUUAGGAGCCUUGUGCUUCGAACCGUCUUCGGACAAUAUCUGAUAACUUGACCUCAAAUCGAGUAGGAUUACCCGCUGAACUUAAGCAUAUCAAUAAGCGGAGGA
RNAcentral lists this ribosomal RNA (579 nucleotides) under uncultured Sebacina. RNAcentral's name for it is "eukaryotic LSU rRNA". The stretch from base 175 to 328 matches the Rfam family "5.8S ribosomal RNA". Lineage: Eukaryota; Fungi; Basidiomycota; Agaricomycetes; Sebacinales; Sebacinaceae. The record is from RNAcentral.